This 398-nucleotide ribosomal RNA is filed under the name uncultured bacterium. RNAcentral describes it as "bacterial SSU rRNA". It matches the Rfam family "Bacterial small subunit ribosomal RNA", at positions 136 to 518 of the family's 1533-position model. The record is from RNAcentral.
GAUGGGGAUAGCUAUUAGAAAUAGUAGAUAAUACCGAAUACGAGCACAGGGGUAGAGAUCUGUGAGGAAAGGAGCUAAGGCUCCGCUGAAGGAAUGGCCUGCGGCCCAUUAGCUAGUUGGUGGAGGUAAGAGCCCACCAAGGCGAUGAUGGGUAUCCGGCCUUAGAGGGUGAACGGACACAUUGGGACUGAGAUACCGGCCCAGACUCCGUACGGGAGGCAGCAGCUAAGAAUAUUCCGCAAUGGACGAAAGUCUGACGGAGCGACGCCGCGGUGGAUGAAGAAGGCCGGAAGGUUGUAAAAAUCCUUUUGAAACUGAAGAAUAAGCGUUGUAGGGAAUGACAGCGUGGUGACAGUAGGUUUUGAAUAAGCAACGGCUAAUUACGUGCCAGCCGCCGC